This is a long non-coding RNA of Brassica oleracea var. oleracea, 1765 nucleotides long. RefSeq lists it as uncharacterized. The record is from RefSeq and is a predicted model, not a curated record. NCBI's taxonomy places the organism in Eukaryota, Viridiplantae, Streptophyta, Magnoliopsida, Brassicales, Brassicaceae. The transcript is spliced from 2 exons.
UAAAAGUCAUACAAUAAUAUUUAAAUUCAUAAUCAUCAUCAGUAGAUUAAAAAGAUAAACUUUACCAACAUGUCAAGUAGGAAUCGGGUUGACACUUUUAGCGUUUAGGUUACUGAGAAGAUUAGUAGUGAUUUUCAACAAUCGGGUUUUUUAAAGAAUUGAUAAUAACACAUAUGAACAUAAGUGAUUCAAGCUAGGAAUCAAAGAAGGUCCUUACCUGGGUGACUGAGUUUCAAAGAGACAGAGAGAUUAUGGGAAGAAGAAGAGCGGUGAAGAAUGUUUUUAGGGUUUAGUAUAAGACGGGGAAAAUUUUCCAAACUUGCAAUUGAUGAUUGUGGCUCGUACAUCUGUCGCAAUAGAAGAGAGUUGAGAUGGAGAGAUGGACCAAAUGGGAGGUUUUCCCGAGCAAGAGGAAACUAGGUUAGGAUCCGGGUUUUAACCCGUUUAGGUUUGGGUGGACCGGAUAGAUUAGGUUGGAUCUAAUAAUAAACUCAUUUCAUUAACGGUUUUUUCGACUUUACACGCUUUAUGCAUUUAAAUUUAAUUCAAAAUAAAUUAUUAUAUAUUAUUUUUAAUAACAGGGAUAUAUGGGAAAUUUACGAGAGCCCUUGAGGCAUAUAUAUUGAGUUAAAGUCCUCCAUUUUUCUCCAUAAGAAUAAAAAUCUAUUUAUUUUUUUAUCUUUUAUGAUUCCAUACUCUUAUAUCUCUCCCUCCAUCUCCGCCGAAUCAAUCUCUUAACUUUCUCAUUUCCCUGUAAAAAGGAAGAGCCUUCCUUCUCCUCCUUCAAUUCCACCAUAAAACCCUAGAAUAAAGCUCCAUCCUUUAACUUCGUAAUGAAAAAAUCUCAUCUCUGUUUCCUCCUCUCCUCACUAAACUUCGCAGCUUCUCAGACCAGCGUCGACGCUCAACUAUGCAAGCCCUCAAAUCGAGCCUAAACCUCACUAAAGACGUAGACUGGUCCAACCCCAACCCUUGUAAAUGGCCAACCGUUCAAUGCGACGCAAGCAACAAAGUCACGAGAAUCCAACUCAAAACCAAAGGAAUCCGAGGAACCCUCCUUCAGAAACUCCAAACCCUCACGGAGCUGAUGGUCCCGAAGCUUUUCCAGAACCGAAUCUCCGGUCCGAUCCCCGAUCUCUCCGGUUUAACCCGGUUACAGACCCUAAACCUCCACGACAACCUCUUCGACUCUGUCCCCAAGAAGCUUACCUCGAGAACAACCCUUUCUCUCCAUGGGAGAUGACCAUGGACAUUUGCUACAAGUCUAGCUAAUUUUCUAUUUUUUUUAACUUAUGUCAGACAUGAAGUAAUGGGGGAAAAAGGCAAAAAAGGCAACGUUCAUUUCAGGAACAGAGGCUGCAAAGAAGUGUUUGAUUGUUUUCAAUCUUCAAUAGUUUUAGGAGUGUUCUAUUGUUUUUACCACCUUCGCUCGUCACCACCACUGUCGUCCGACACCACCACCACCACGACCACAAUAGCUCGACCUCUCUGCCUCUCUCUCUAUCUGUUUUGAACUCAUUUUGUCGUGAGCAGAGUUGGUGGUUGUGAGCAGAGGAUCAGUUCCUUGCCUCUCCUUGGUGUUGAUCAAUUCUAGAUAUAACCAGAUACUUAUAACUCUGGUUGCUACUUUUGUCAUUAAAUAUGUUAACUAUUUAUGUAGACUAGCAUUUAAACAUAAUUGUUAGGUCUUUUUUGUGUUGCUAAUAUAUGUACUCGAUGUCCAAUAUUUUAAGGUCAGAAAAAAAAAUAUUUUUUAAACUCUUAA